This 30-nucleotide non-coding RNA is filed under the name Rattus norvegicus (Norway rat). The record is from RNAcentral. Lineage: Eukaryota; Metazoa; Chordata; Mammalia; Rodentia; Muridae.
UGGGAAUGGAAUUGUUUUUUCAGGAACGCC